AAAGUCGUAACAAGGUUUCCGUAGGUGAACCUGCGGAAGGAUCAUUAACACUCCAAAACUCUCAUAGCUCUGGGAAACCAGAGUUUAUGAAACCCUAUUCACAUUAGCGAACCCGGCGGGAAAUGCAGUGGCGGCCUUGCAAAAGGUCAAAGCUACAUUUCUUAGCUACUUUCUUUUGUCCAUUUUUUACUUUAAACCCCAAUCAUUUCUUUUUAUGUCUGACUGGAAGACCUAGUCUUCCGUUGCUCUUUACUCUAACCGGUAGAGGCAAUGAAAACUACUUAAAAAAACAAAAAAACAACUCUUAGCAACGGAUAUCUUGGUUCUC
Molecule: unclassified non-coding RNA, 328 nt
Filed under: Basidiomycota sp.
Lineage: Eukaryota; Fungi; Basidiomycota
Description: partial contains small subunit ribosomal RNA, internal transcribed spacer 1, and 5.8S ribosomal RNA
Rfam family: Eukaryotic small subunit ribosomal RNA (bases 1-47)
Source: RNAcentral